RNAcentral lists this long non-coding RNA (59 nucleotides) under Polistes canadensis. RNAcentral's name for it is "uncharacterized LOC106790848". Lineage: Eukaryota; Metazoa; Arthropoda; Insecta; Hymenoptera; Vespidae. The record is from RNAcentral.
UGUCGGUAAUUCUGAUGGUAAGUUACCAUCAGAUCUCGGUCGGUAAGAUAAAGGUAGAA